GGCCGGUUGGCCCAAUGGCAAGGCGUCUGACUACGACUUAAGAUCUCAAGUUAGUGAUCAGAGGUUGUGUAAUCAGGAGAUUCUGGGUUCGACCCCCAGGCUGGUCA
The sequence is a transfer RNA, 107 nucleotides long. It matches the Rfam family "tRNA". From Rfam's summary of the family: Transfer RNA (tRNA) molecules are approximately 80 nucleotides in length. Their secondary structure includes four short double-helical elements and three loops (D, anti-codon, and T loops). The record is from Rfam.